This is a small nuclear RNA of Carcharodon carcharias (great white shark), 183 nucleotides long. RefSeq annotates it as U2 spliceosomal RNA. The record is from RefSeq and is a predicted model, not a curated record. The transcript has a single exon. NCBI's taxonomy places the organism in Eukaryota, Metazoa, Chordata, Chondrichthyes, Lamniformes, Lamnidae.
CUCGCUUCUCAGCUUUUUGCCUAAGAUCAAGUGUAGUAGCUAUUCUUAUCAGUUUAAUACCUGAUGCAUCCCCUAUCUGGGGGCCCAAAUAUUAAGUUGAUUUUUGCAGCAGGGAGAUGGAACAGGGGCUUGCCCAUUCCACUCCACGCAUCAACUUGGUAUUGCAGGAAUGGUGCAAUUUCC